Molecule: non-coding RNA, 83 nt
Organism: Podarcis lilfordi (Lilford's wall lizard)
Lineage: Eukaryota; Metazoa; Chordata; Lepidosauria; Squamata; Lacertidae
Source: the annotation of a GenBank genome assembly
AGGCCUGUGGCUCAGGGGUUAGAGCAGCUGCCUUGCAUGCAGAGGGUCCCAGGUUCAAUCCCCAACAUACCCAGGUAGAGCUG